This is a non-coding RNA of Heterocephalus glaber (naked mole-rat), 1743 nucleotides long. The record is from RefSeq and is a predicted model, not a curated record. Lineage: Eukaryota; Metazoa; Chordata; Mammalia; Rodentia; Bathyergidae.
AUCCAUCAUACAAUAUAGUCCAUCUUCAUAAUGAAUGAAUUAAAAGUUUACUUUCUUAGGAAUUCGUUUCUUACUCUUUGUGCCAGUGUGCCCAGAAGAGGAAGAUACAAUACAAGAAUGUCAUUUUUUCCAUAGGCACACUGAUCAGUUUUCUUGUCACUUGUUCAAAAUCCACAACAUCAACAAUUUAAAGGAGAAGUUACUUGGCUUCCAGUUUCAGAGGGUUCAGUCCAUAGUUGGAGGAAAUGGCCUGGUAAGAGAGCAUGUGGAAGAAAGCUGCUUAACUCAUGGCAGCCAGGAAUGAGAGAGGACAAGAAUCCACUCUUCUUCCAGUGCCUGCCUCGAAAGCGCAAGGUCCUGAGUUCGAUUCCCAGUACCAAAAAAAAAAAAAGAAUCCACUUUUCUGAGACGUGUUCACAGUCUCCUGUCUCUUCUAAGCUGGCACCUCCUCCUAGUAGCACAUUUAGCUACAAACUCAUCAAUGUAUUAAUCUACAGAAGACUAUAGAGAUCCAACCCCCUUCCAAAUGCCCCAUCUCUGCACACACGAGACUUCUGGGGGGGCAUUUUAGAUCUAAACAAUAACAAUAGGUAUUACUGUUUAUCCUAUUACAGGACUGUAUUAAUCAGCAGCCUUGAUUCAGUAGUGACAGAGAUCUCUGUGAAGGCUAAGUCUAAUUAUCAACUUCAUUGGAUGGAGAGCUGCCUAGCGAUGAGUGAAGCACACAUCAGGUAUGCCUGGGUGGGGCAUGGAGGUGUGACUGGGGUUUAUAUCCACUCCCUGGCCUCUCCCCAUCUGGCACCAUUCCCUUGCUCUGCUUCCUGGCCACCCUGAACAGAGCGGAUUUCCUCUGCCACGCCCUUCAUUAUGAUGCUCCUGCUCGGAAGCCACAAACAAUAGACUGAAUCCCCUGAGCCCCUCCUGAAAUUAUAAGGGUGCUGGGUAUUGUGUUUCUUGGACAAGAAAACUGACACCUACAUCCUCUCUCCUCCAAAAACCUAGGUGCAGGCUGUGGGGGUGGUCAGUGUUGGGGUGGGUUUUAAUAAACAAGUAAAAUCAAUAAUGUUCAAAAGCUAUGGGCGCUAUGAAGAAAAGAUACUUGGAUAAUAAGAAAGAGAGACUGACAUGGGCUAGGAGAGAGCAUAAAAUGUUAUAAUUUGUAGGGUGAGGACAAGUUAGCCAUUAAUGGAUAAUCAAGGAGAGAAGUUUGUGGACCCUGAAAAAAAUCCAGUGAAAACAAGGAGAGAUCUAUUUCCAGAAAGAGUGGAACAGGAAUCUGAUCAAGCAGAGCCUUGUGGGGCAAGAGAUUUCGGUUCAUGGACACUUGCUUCUGUUACUUUUGGAUCCAGAGUGAGUCAGAACCUCGUGGUGGAGGGCAUGUGGUGCAGCAGAGUGGCUCACACCUCAUGAUGGAGAGAGAAAGAAAGAAAAGAGAGAAACAAGAGAGGGAAAGGCAAGGGCCAAGAUACAAUCCCCAGGGUCUCACCCCUAAGAGCCAGUCCCAUUAGACUCCAUCUUCCUAAGAUUCCAUCAUCUCCAAAUAAAGCCAUGAAAUUAUGAAUCUACCAAUGGGUUCACCAUGAUACAAUCACCAGGGGCUGGGGUUCUAGCUCAGUGGUUUCACCACCUGCUUCGCAAACAGAAGGACCCGAGUUCGAUCCCCGGUACCAAAAACAAAAAGAAAUGAUACAAUCACCUCCCAAGUGUCCUUCAGCUGACAACCAAGCUCACAGCACAUGACCU